RNAcentral lists this transfer RNA (77 nucleotides) under Amantichitinum ursilacus. RNAcentral describes it as "tRNA-Ile". It matches the Rfam family "tRNA". Rfam says of the family: Transfer RNA (tRNA) molecules are approximately 80 nucleotides in length. Their secondary structure includes four short double-helical elements and three loops (D, anti-codon, and T loops). The record is from RNAcentral. Lineage: Bacteria; Pseudomonadati; Pseudomonadota; Betaproteobacteria; Neisseriales; Chitinibacteraceae.
GGGUCAGUAGCUCAGUUGGUUAGAGCACCGUCUUGAUAAGGCGGGGGUCACAGGUUCGAUUCCUGUCUGACCCACCA